This 366-nucleotide ribosomal RNA is filed under the name Triticum aestivum (bread wheat). Its description in RNAcentral is "partial small subunit ribosomal RNA". Lineage: Eukaryota; Viridiplantae; Streptophyta; Magnoliopsida; Poales; Poaceae. The record is from RNAcentral.
AUGGAUGCUAUGCUCUGCUAUAAGUUCUGGUCUCACAAAUUCCUGAAUUUGACAUAUCAGCUACAAGCUAAUCCAGAAUGUUGUUUGUUGGUGGACAACACACUUGAUUGCCUUCAAAAGCAGCAUCAAGAAAAAAUGUGUACAUCUACUAGUAUUUUGAGUGAUUCAUAUAAAGUCCAACAUGUUGUGCCGCAGGAUGAAGGUUUGCUUAGUGUUGCACGCUUAAACAAAAAGAAGGGUCAGAAAAAGAGUUCAAAGCAACAUAUAAGUUGGCUCGAGAAGGAACACAAGUUUAAAAAGAAAAUACCAAUACAAUUCACACUAUGUUUAGAUGUCUGUAUUGGGUUGUUCAAUUGGAUUUGGUAA